GUAGGGGGCGAGCGUUGUCCGGAUUCAUUGGGCGUGAAGAGCUCGUAGGCGGCUCAGUAAGUCGGCCGUGAAAGCCCGGGGCUCAACCCCGGGACGCCGGUCGAUACUGCUGUGGCUAGGGUCCGGUAGAGGAGAGUGGAAUUCCCGGUGUAGCGGUGAAAUGCGCAGAUAUCGGGAGGAACACCAGUAGCGAAGGCGGCUCUCUGGGCCGGUACCGACGCUGAGGAGCGAAAGCUAGGGGAGCAAACAGGAUUAGAUACCCUGGUAGUCCUAGCCGUAAACGAUGGGCACUAGGUGUGGCGGAUUCAUUGACAUCUGCCGUGCCGGAGCUAACGCAUUAAGUGCCCCCGCCUGGGGAUACGGUCGCAAGGCUA
This 374-nucleotide ribosomal RNA is filed under the name uncultured organism. Its description in RNAcentral is "partial 16S ribosomal RNA". It matches the Rfam family "Bacterial small subunit ribosomal RNA", at positions 527 to 896 of the family's 1533-position model. The record is from RNAcentral.